GUGGGGAAUAUUGGGCAAUGGGGGCAACCCUGACCCAGCGACGCCGCGUGGGUGAAGAAAUCCCUCGGGAUGUAAAGCCCUGUUGUAUGGGAAGAGCAGAAGACGGUACCAUACGAGGAAGCCCCGGCAAACUACGUGCCAGCAGCCGCGGUAAUACGUAGGGGGCAAGCGUUGUCCGGAAUUACUGGGCGUAAAGCGCACGCAGGCUGAAUUAUAAGUCGGUAGUCAAAUACGGAGGCUCAACUUCCGGAUAUCUAUCGAUACUGUAAAUCUAGAGUAUGUGAGAGGGAAGCGGAAUUCCCGGUGUAGCGGUGAAAUGCGGAGAUAUCGGGAGGAACACCAGUGGCGAAGGCGGCUUCCUGGCACAAUACUGACGCUCAUGUGCGAAAGCUAGGGCAGCGAACGGGAUUAGAUACCCGUGUAGUCC
Molecule: ribosomal RNA, 427 nt
Filed under: uncultured bacterium
Lineage: Bacteria
Description: partial 16S ribosomal RNA
Rfam family: Bacterial small subunit ribosomal RNA
Source: RNAcentral